Molecule: long non-coding RNA, 1315 nt
Filed under: Gossypium barbadense (sea-island cotton)
Lineage: Eukaryota; Viridiplantae; Streptophyta; Magnoliopsida; Malvales; Malvaceae
Description: long non-coding RNA (GBAR_LNC016144)
Source: RNAcentral
GGAAAGAGUAGUUAACGCCUAACGGCUCAACCAACUACUGGUCGUGUGCAAACCGAUCGCUUUCCACGUGAUUAGAAGCCUGGGUUAGAUAUUGGAGGACUGCGCCAUAUGUAUAAAAUCAUCAUCAGCCGAAACUGAAAGAAAACCAGAACAGAGCAGAGUGUUCAAGUUAUUCCCCAUUUUUUGGUCUUUCUUUAUGCCAACUGAAAAUCAAAUGAAAGACAUGAAACAGAAUUCCAUAAUGGGGUCGUCAGUCACCGAAGGCGAGAUCGUGUGCGUAACAGGCGGCUCUGGGUUCAUUGGUUCAUGGCUCAUCAAGCUGCUCUUGGAACGCGGUUAUGUCGUCCGAGCCACUGUGCGCGACCCUGGUUUGUCCCUUUAUUAUUGUUUUCUAAACACUUUCUUGUCCCUCAUGAUUGGAUGAUUUAAGCAUCUUUUUUACUUGAAAAAUAGUAAAGUUUUAAUUGUUGUCGUUCAUAUUUGCUUGUUUUAUUAAUGGAGCAGACAACUCGAAGAAGGUGAAGCAUUUACUGGAGCUACCUAAAGCAGAGACGCACUUGACUAUUUGGAAAGCAGAUUUAGCUGAAGAGGGAAGCUUUGAUGAUGCAAUUCAAGGUUGUACGGGUGUGUUCCACGUGGCCACGCCUAUGGACUUCGAGUCCGAGGACCCUGAGGUAUUAUAUUAAUAUGGAAUAUGGUUUAAGAAAUGUAAUUAAAAGCCAAUCUAGUAGUAGUGUUGCGGAAGCGACGAUAAUAUUAAUAACAAUAUUAUCAGAAAUAUUUAGAUAAUUAUUAUGCCAACAAUUAUACUAAGAAAAUUCCCAGUUAAAUUGGAGGGAUCACAAAUGGUCCCGCUUAAAACCCAACAACUAGACAGAACUCACUUAGAUAUUUAUAGCAAUAAUAACUAAAUAAAUAUAACCAACAUAAAGCUAUUAAAUAUAAGCAAACAAAUAAGAAAUAAAAUACCAGAGAUUUAACGAGGUUCGGCCAAUUUAGCUUACGUCCUCGGACACUACCAAAUUAAUAUUUCUUCUAGAAAUAUUACAAAGGAGAAGAUUUUGGGAUGAUAAAACCAAAGGGGGAGGGGUUCUAUAUAUAACAAACCAAGCUCCCUCCCUUUCUAUCUUUUCCUAAUGUGGGAUAUUGCCAAUAUUCAACAAGUAGCAUAGAUUUACUUUUACAUAAGAACAUUGAAAUGACUGUUUGCUGAGUUGCAGAAUGAAGUCAUAAAACCAACAAUCAAUGGAGUGCUAAGCAUCAUGAAAGCUUGCGCCAAAGCCAAAACUGUUAGAAGGUUAGUGUUCACAUCAUC